Molecule: non-coding RNA, 229 nt
Organism: Paramuricea clavata
Lineage: Eukaryota; Metazoa; Cnidaria; Anthozoa; Malacalcyonacea; Plexauridae
Source: the annotation of a GenBank genome assembly
UUUUUUUAUUCGAGACCCACGACUUUUUACCCACGCCUUUUUACCCACGACCCACGCCUUUUUACCCACGACCCACGCCUUUUUACCCACGACCCACGCCUUUUUACCCACGACCCACGCCUUUUACCCACGACCCACGCCUUUUUACCCACGACCCACGACAUUUUACCCACGACCCACGACAUUCUACCCACGACCCACGACCCACGACUGUUAGCUAGUCCCGUUG